UACACACCGCCCGUCACAUCACGAAAGCCAGUUGUACUAGAAGCCGGUGACUUAACCCGCAAGGGGAAUAGCCGUCCAAGGUAUGACUGGUGAUUGGGGUG
RNAcentral lists this ribosomal RNA (101 nucleotides) under uncultured bacterium. RNAcentral describes it as "partial 16S ribosomal RNA". It matches the Rfam family "Bacterial small subunit ribosomal RNA", at positions 1384 to 1482 of the family's 1533-position model. The record is from RNAcentral.